CAGCAGCCGCGGUAAUACGUAGGUGGCAAGCGUUGUCCGGAAUUAUUGGGCGUAAAGGGCUCGCAGGCGGUUUCUUAAGUCUGAUGUGAAAGCCCCCGGCUCAACCGGGGAGGGUCAUUGGAAACUGGGAAACUUGAGUGCAGGAGAGGAGAGUGGAAUUCCACGUGUAGCGGUGAAAUGCGUAGAGAUGUGGAGGAACACCAGUGGCGAAGGCGACUCUCUGGUCUGUAACUGACGCUGAGGAGCGAAAGCGUGGGGAGCGAACAGGAUUAGAUACCCCAGUAGUCCCUGUCUCUUAUAA
RNAcentral lists this ribosomal RNA (301 nucleotides) under uncultured bacterium. RNAcentral's name for it is "partial 16S ribosomal RNA". It matches the Rfam family "Bacterial small subunit ribosomal RNA", at positions 509 to 809 of the family's 1533-position model. The record is from RNAcentral.